This is a long non-coding RNA of Perognathus longimembris pacificus (Pacific pocket mouse), 166 nucleotides long. RefSeq lists it as uncharacterized. NCBI's taxonomy places the organism in Eukaryota, Metazoa, Chordata, Mammalia, Rodentia, Heteromyidae. The record is from RefSeq and is a predicted model, not a curated record. The transcript is spliced from 3 exons.
AGGCACUGAGUUCAAGCUCCAGAACUGGCAAAAAUAAAAAGCAAAAAGAUGGAUAAAUGCCAACCAAGUGACCUGUCACUCUGAAGGAACUGGUCACCAAUGUGGUAUGAUAUUUUUUUUAAUCAUCAAAUCCUUCCAAUGACUCACAGUUACCGGAAACUCCAAA